UAAGAAUUUUCAUGUUUUUGAAUGAAUAUGCGAAUAUUGAUAUGUUCUUCCCCUGCAUGAACCGACAUUCAACAUUUAAUUUACAUCACACAAAAGGAUAAACAUAGAAUUAUCAUGGAAUAAGUAUAUCAACAUACAUGGACUACAAUAAAGCAUAGAAUUAGUAACAUAUGAUCUAAAUUAAGAUGUAAAAAGUUUAAAUUAACCUGACAGUUCAAAAAGAAAAAUAAUCACCAUAUGUAGUGAUAAUAUGUUGCGGUAGUUCAUGUAGUCAUAUUCGUUGUUAUUUGUUAUUGCAAAAGGACAAUAAUAUUUUCG
Molecule: long non-coding RNA, 318 nt
Filed under: Amborella trichopoda
Lineage: Eukaryota; Viridiplantae; Streptophyta; Magnoliopsida; Amborellales; Amborellaceae
Description: long non-coding RNA (ATRI_LNC001841)
Source: RNAcentral